ACUACUACAAAAUUAUACAUACAUAACACUUAAUACAUAACGGUUUUUUCAAAAAACCGUUAUGUAUGAGCGCACUUUUAGGUAUAGAUAACGGUUUGACAAAAAACCGUUAUCUAUGUAGUGUUCUCCAUACUCAUAGAUAACGGUUUAAGUUAUUCCGUUAUGUUUGUGCGUUAUCUAUUAGUUGCAUACAUAACGGUACUACAAAACCGUUAAGCCGACCGUUAUCUAUGAGCAUCCUUUUAUAACGGUUAUUUUAACCGUUAUAUAUGAGCACCUCAAUACUGUUAUGUAUUAUUUUUUAUACUUAUUUUUAAAUUUAAUUUUAUUAUAAAAAAUCAAACCCCUAACCACCCCCACCAAAUUUCCCCAAAUCGAAGACGUCGCCCAGUACCCUCUCUAUCUCUCAGCUCUUGUCGCCGUCGGAGAUGCCGUCCACCGCCGCCCUCUGUCCGCAGCAGCAAAGCAGGCCGAGCAAGGCGAGCGUUGGGCUUGUGCUGUUGGCGGUGAUAGGCGUCGGACAGAGGCUCUUCAGAGGACUGCAGACCAUCCUCGCGCGACGGGGAGUUUGCAGAGACAAGUCGUAGCGACGCUAGCGGUGGACGGUGAAUGAUCGAGACGUGGAAGUGCAUUUCGGCGGCCAUCCAGACGGCGGCCGAGUGUACGACGGCGGCGGGCUAGGGUUUUCAAACCCUAGCUGUGAAGAAGAUAAGAAACGGGUCAGAAAGAUGGGUCUUCGGGUAAAAAUAAAAUAAAAUUCUUUCUCACUUCGUUAUUGUGUUUGGAAUUUGAGCUAAUUUGCUGAGUUCAGGGCAGGAUUACAUAUGGAGGGUUCACAAAAUCCCAGGGAGCAAGAAAUGGGAAUUGGCCAUGAGAAGCCAUCAAUUGUGGGAGGAGAUGGCUGCGAGCAUCACGAAUCAAGGUAUGGAUCCUUUGUUGGAGCAUGGUUGGACGAAGACAAGUUCAGUUCAGAUAUUGGAUUUUUUUUUCUUACCUCAAAGAGUUCUUUCCUUGUUUGUUGAUAUAAUAUGAUUUGUUGUUGUCGACUGGAUUCAACAAAUAGUUAAAUGAGAAGUUGAGUGGUGAUUACAACUAUUAUGGAAAGAGAAGAUGUAGAUUAAGUAGCUAUUCGUUGCAAAUUUUGACUUGAUAGCAAUAACCCUCCCUAGUUACAUUUUGGAUGCAAAGAUUGACAAACAACAGAAGUUAUUUACUUUACUAUAUAUGUCUGCACCAAUUAGAUGUGGUGUUAGUCUGUUAACCUAUGACUUUGUCUAAUUUGAUUUUUCAUUGUAUUUAGUUGACAUGUAUAUGAUAAUGUUAAGGAACCAAACUUUUUCUUUCUUUUAUUAGUUGAAAUGCAUCUCAAUGCAGGAAACAUGGGUAAAGAGGAACAUGGUGUUUACUGUUUUAUUAGCUCCAUUUUUGAUGAAAUCAACAAUAUAUAGUUAUAACUUGUAAACCCUCUCUUUCAGAAUUAGAAUUACAGUAGGCUCUUACAGUUCUAUGACCCGAAAGAUGUAUAUUUACUCUUCGUUAUGUCUUGUAAUGCAAGAUACUGGUUUCAGUGUUGCUGCAAGUUACUUAAUUAAACGAUACUCCUGCUCUGAAGAAGGCUGAUAUUGGAAGUGCCGUUCCUUUUCAGACCGUCGUCCAUCUGUCCGUCGGCAACUCACGCACACCGCACACGGUAAGCCCUCUCUCUCAGAAUUAGAAUUACAGAUUUGCUUGAAUUUGUUUCGAAUUUUACUUUCUUAUUGUAGUUGGGUACAUGGAAUAUUGCUUAGUUUCAUUUUAUUUGCUAAACUUAAUCAUGUGAAGCUUUUAUUAUUAAAUGAAAUGUAAAGUAUUUUCAUAGGACUAGCAGAUAGCUUGAAAUUUGAUAUUUUGGUACUUUGAUUUGGUAUCUAUUUUUUCAUAUUCAUCGCUCUGAUUUCAUGAAGCAUAGAUGGCGUUUAUGAUUUUUAGUUGUCAUUCUAGCUAGGCAUUGACAUUGAACAACCUGAUGAAAUCUUGAAACCAAAUUGCCAUUUAAUUUGUAAGGCAUCUGGAGUGUGGUCUUUUCUUUUAUUUUUCAUAUUAAUUCAUGUGUGUGUUGUGUUUGAUUUGAUGGGACUAAUUGCAGAUGGUGGGGUAUGGAUGGGCUGGGAUAUUGAGAAAAUACUUGGUUGUUCCAGUUGAGAUGUGGUGGCCUUCCAAUGUCACGCAAGUUUCCUUGUUUAGGUAAAAUAAAUCAAAAUUCUGUUAUUAAUUUCUAUUUCCAAGAGUAUUGCUGUAGAAUACAUAAUCACUACCUAUGUAGUUAUAGAAAGAUUUUGGUUGUUAAUCACCUUGGGCAAUUUGAGUGCGUUGACACUUUUGCACUUCAUGGCGUUCCCUUAUUCCAAGGCUUUGAUAUUUCUAAUCAAUUAAUGCUAGCUAUUGGUAUUUCUAAUUCUUAUUCCAAGGCUUCGACUUAUUGGUUCCAAUUGAAUUGCUGGUGUUAUUGUGGACGUGAGGUUUGAAUUCGAUUAUGAAUUUUCUUCAUGACAAGAUUUUGUCCUUUUCUAAUUUAGAAGUCAUGUUUCUUUGUAUAUUUUCACGUUUCUAAUUCUAUAAAUGAGUGUUGAGAAAUUGAAUAAGAAGUACACAUUGCAUCGAGAAUGGUUGAUUCCAGAUUAGAUUAUGGUUGGCUUUUGUGUGGUAGUAAAGUUAGUGAAAGCGAAGAAGACAACAAUAGAAUAAGAAAUUUUCAUAUUCUUGAACUUCUCUGAUAUUUACAUUUUUGUAGUAUAUUAGUUUUUUAAAUGAGUGAAGUUUCAUGUAUUAAAUUUGCUUAGCUUUGAUAUAUAUGUUGAUCUAUAUCAGUUGCUUAAAAUUGCCUAUUUUCAAUUGUUUUUUGCAGGUAAUCAGUGGCAUUAAGAAGGGGAGCAACUGUGGUUCUGUUUUGGUGCACUCGGGAAGCAUUUCUCCUACCUAGGUAAAGAGUAAACUUAAUCAGUUGGUUUGAAUGUGCUAUUGUAGGUGUCAUGUGUUAUUUUAAAAUCAGUUGGUUUCUCAAAUUCGUAGAGAUCGUUGUGAGGAGAGAAUGGACUGUAAUUCAGCAGUUUCCGGCAGCCACUCAAAAGAAAUUGGUUAACUUACACUCAAAAUUAAAGACGCAGGUAUGAAUUUUUGCUCAAAACUUAGCUUACGUUUGCUGCUACUGAUAAAACUGAAGUAAUUCCUACUAUGUUGACAUGGUUUAUUCGAAAUGGGUCAUUUCUCACAGCCUAGUUCUUGGAUUUCUUCACAUGUUUAGAUUAUCUUUUGCUUAUGAGAAAUUCUAAUAACGAUCACAUGACUUUCACUUUGAUUAUUUGAUAUAGCAUUUGGCUUUUUUGCAUAAGAUCGCCUACUGCUUCUAUGUAUACUCGAAUAAUUUCCUUUUCUUUGGCAUAGUUUCUCGUCCUUUUUAGUUAUUUAUGGGGCUUGAUGAUGAUCUUGUUGCAGAUCCCGGGUGCUUUGCAGUUUUUGCAGCUUGGAGAAAGCAGCGUUGCAUGCUUCGGGUGUACUGCGCAGGACAGGGAAGCACUUAUUCUUGAGGGACAACAACAAUGAAAAACCUUCUCUUCUGCUGCUCCAGAUGACCGAAGAUUUUGAUGAGCUUAAGUUCAUGUGAAGUUCCUUUGAGAUGGUGGUGUGGUGAGUUAGGUGGUGUUGUGGCUCCUUUGAGAUUACAGUGGUGUUACACCAUGAAUAGAAAUUCGGUGAAAAUCCCUUUUUUUUUUUUUUUUGAGUUGGGCUCAAAACAUUAUGUAUGAAGAUUUUGGAUGAUAAUGUAUGAAUAUUGUGUGAUUAUAAUAUUUUGAAUGUUAUAUAUUAUAUGUUAUCUAUGUCAAUGUCAUUUUGUUAUUUUAGAACUAUUAAUUUAAUUUUUGAGAUAAAUAAAAGGAAAAUUAAAAAAAUAUAUUCUUGUUAUAAAAAGUGCAAAAAACUGUUAUAAAAAGUGCAAAAAACCGUUAUGUAUUUUCUAUCAAAGAUAACGGUUAAAACCGUUAUAAAAAGUGCAAAAAAUUGUUAUGUAUUUCUAUCAAAGAUAACGGUUAAAACCGUUAUAAAA
Molecule: long non-coding RNA, 4081 nt
Filed under: Salvia miltiorrhiza (redroot sage)
Lineage: Eukaryota; Viridiplantae; Streptophyta; Magnoliopsida; Lamiales; Lamiaceae
Description: long non-coding RNA (SMIL_LNC005038)
Source: RNAcentral